RNAcentral lists this non-coding RNA (21 nucleotides) under Arabidopsis thaliana (thale cress). The record is from RNAcentral. Lineage: Eukaryota; Viridiplantae; Streptophyta; Magnoliopsida; Brassicales; Brassicaceae.
UACUGUGGCGGCAUCUCUGGG